UAGUGGCGAACGGGUGAGUAACACGUGGGCAAUCUGCCCUGCACUCUGGGACAAGCCCUGGAAACGGGGUCUAAUACCGGAUAACACUANGGGCCUCAUGGUCUGUGGUUAAAAGCUCCGGCGGUGCAGGAUGAGCCCGCGGCCUAUCAGCUUGUUGGUGAGGUAAUGGCUCACCAAGGCGACGACGGGUAGCCGGCCUGAGAGGGCGACCGGCCACACUGGGACUGAGACACGGCCCAGACUCCUACGGGAGGCAGCAGUGGGGAAUAUUGCACAAUGGGCGAAAGCCUGAUGCAGCGACGCCGCGUGAGGGAUGACGGCCUUCGGGUUGUAAACCUCUUUCAGCAGGGAAGAAGCGCAAGUGACGGUACCUGCAGAAGAAGCGCCGGCUAACUACGUGCCAGCAGCCGCGGUAAUACGUAGGGCGCAAGCGUUGUCCGGAAUUAUUGGGCGUAAAGAGCUCGUAGGCGGCUUGUCACGUCGGGUGUGAAAGCCCGGGGCUUAACCCCGGGUCUGCAUUCGAUACGGGCUAGCUAGAGUGUGGUAGGGGAGAUCGGAAUUCCU
Molecule: ribosomal RNA, 564 nt
Filed under: Streptomyces sp. 331H10
Lineage: Bacteria; Bacillati; Actinomycetota; Actinomycetes; Kitasatosporales; Streptomycetaceae
Description: bacterial SSU rRNA
Rfam family: Bacterial small subunit ribosomal RNA
Source: RNAcentral